This is a non-coding RNA of Felis catus (domestic cat), 85 nucleotides long. The record is from Rfam. Lineage: Eukaryota; Metazoa; Chordata; Mammalia; Carnivora; Felidae.
GCCUGGGUGGCUCAGUUGGUUAAGCAUCUGACUUCCGCUCAGAUCAUGAUCUCGCGGUUCAUGGGUUCGAGCCCCGUGCUGGGCU